This 484-nucleotide ribosomal RNA is filed under the name uncultured bacterium. RNAcentral describes it as "partial 16S ribosomal RNA". It matches the Rfam family "Bacterial small subunit ribosomal RNA", at positions 30 to 507 of the family's 1533-position model. The record is from RNAcentral.
AUUGAACGCUGGCGGCAGGCCUAACACAUGCAAGUCGAGCGGAUGAAGGGAGCUUGCUCCUGGAUUCAGCGGCGGACGGGUGAGUAAUGCCUAGGAAUCUGCCUGGUAGUGGGGGAUAACGUCCGGUAACGGGCGCUAAUACCGCAUACGUCCUGAGGGAGAAAGUGGGGGAUCUUCGGACCUCACGCUAUCAGAUGAGCCUAGGUCGGAUUAGCUAGCUGGUGGGGUAAAGGCCUACCAAGGCGACGAUCCGUAACUGGUCUGAGAGGAUGAUCAGUCACACUGGAACUGAGACACGGUCCAGACUCCUACGGGAGGCAGCAGUGGGGAAUAUUGGACAAUGGGCGAAAGCCUGAUCCAGCCAUGCCGCGUGUGUGAAGAAGGUCUUCGGAUUGUAAAGCACUUUAAGUUGGGAGGAAGGGCAGUAAGUUAAUACCUUGCUGUUUUGACGUUACCAACAGAAUAAGCACCGGCUAACUUCGUG